ACGGGAGGCAGCAGUGGGGAAUAUUGGGCAAUGGGCGAAAGCCUGACCCAGCGACGCCGCGUGAGCGAUGAAGGUCUUCGGAUUGUAAAGCUCUGUUGACAGGGACGAUAAUGACGGUACCUGUCGAGGAAGCCACGGCUGACUACGUGCCAGCAGCCGCGGUAAUACGUAGGUGGCAAGCGUUAUCCGGAUUUACUGGGUGUAAAGGGUGUGUAGGCGGGGGAGCAAGUCAGAUGUGAAAUCUAUGGGCUUAACUCAUAGACUGCGUCUGAAACUGUUCUUCUUGAGAGUCGGAGGGGUAAUCGGAAUUCCCGGUGUAGCGGUGAAAUGCGUAGAUAUUAGGAGGAACACCAGUGGCGAAGGCGACUUUCUGGACAGUAACUGACGUUGAGGCACGAAAGUGUGGGGAGCAAACAGGAUUAGAUACCCUGGUA
This 434-nucleotide ribosomal RNA is filed under the name uncultured Oscillospiraceae bacterium. Its description in RNAcentral is "bacterial SSU rRNA". It matches the Rfam family "Bacterial small subunit ribosomal RNA", at positions 341 to 792 of the family's 1533-position model. The record is from RNAcentral. Lineage: Bacteria; Bacillati; Bacillota; Clostridia; Eubacteriales; Oscillospiraceae.